Molecule: transfer RNA, 65 nt
Filed under: Hishimonoides recurvatis
Lineage: Eukaryota; Metazoa; Arthropoda; Insecta; Hemiptera; Cicadellidae
Description: tRNA-Ile
Source: RNAcentral
AAUAAGAUGCCUGAUUAAAGGAUUAUUUUGAUAGAAUAAAUUAAGUAUUUUUAAUACUCUUAUUG